RNAcentral lists this ribosomal RNA (253 nucleotides) under uncultured bacterium. Its description in RNAcentral is "partial 16S ribosomal RNA". It matches the Rfam family "Archaeal small subunit ribosomal RNA", at positions 474 to 727 of the family's 1478-position model. The record is from RNAcentral.
UACCAGCACCCCGAGUGGUCGGGACGUUUAUUGGGCCUAAAGCAUCCGUAGCCGGUUCUACAAGUCUUCCGUUAAAUCCACCUGCUUAACAGAUGGGCUGCGGAAGAUACUAUAGAGCUAGGAGGCGGGAGAGGCAAGCGGUACUCGAUGGGUAGGGGUAAAAUCCGUUGAUCCAUUGAAGACCACCAGUGGCGAAGGCGGCUACCUGGACCGGUUCUGACGCUGAGGCGCGAAAGCGUGGGUAGCAAACAGG